RNAcentral lists this long non-coding RNA (2528 nucleotides) under Homo sapiens (human). RNAcentral describes it as "PACRG antisense RNA 3". The record is from RNAcentral. Lineage: Eukaryota; Metazoa; Chordata; Mammalia; Primates; Hominidae.
GUGAUUCAGUUAAAAACUGAAUUAACUGAAAUCAAUUCAACAACAACUGCCCCGGUGCUUCCCCGUAGAUAGCACCGCUGUUGUUUCAGGAACACAGUCAUCCCUCAGAAAUGGAUUGGGUGACAAGUGGUCUGCAUGCUGCACACGGGCACUGGGUCUCUGAAUGUAACCAAAUUGUUCUCCUCUUAUCAUUCCCAUUCACUGGUGUACUUGUUUGUGGAGCCUGCAGAACUGCCUUUUUCAAGAAUGCUUAAGGCUAAUUUAAAAGGAUGGUGAGGAGAUUCUAUUUUCAACUGGCUGAAGUUCAAUAAGAAUAAAAUAAAACACUGUUGUAGCAAACUCUUUCACAGUGGAAGUUUGGCAAAGCUAAAUCUCAUUCCUUUCGAUGUGCUCCAGUACAGCCAAAAUACUGUUCCAGUGAGUAAGACACCCAUUAGAGUGAUGAGCUUCCUACAGAACAAGAAUCUCUCCAUAUUUUAUUUUAAACCAAACCAGUGUUGCAUUGCUUUGUAUUAAGAAUCCAAAAGGAAAUAUUGUGUAAUACAAUCAGUAAAAAACCUACAGUUUCGUUACAGUUAUAUUUUUAUCAUUGGCCUGCGUUUUCCUAAUUUCAGAAGUAUACGUGAUCAUUUUAGAUACAGGAAAUGACUUCUUUUAAUUUUUCUUGUAGUGAAAGUUUUACAAUUCUUUAGUCAAGCCUACUGAUUAGCUUAAAAACCCUAAUAAAAGGAGUGACCACACAUACAUCUCUGUAGGUAUAAAUCAAGGUUGGGAAAUUUUAAAGGUGCAUUUCUUUUUCUUCCUUUUUUUUUUCUUUAACCCUAUGUCUUCUAGGCAGCUUGGCCUCUAAAUCUGCUUCCCACUGAUGGGAAGAGCUGACAGAAGCUUUAGAGAGGCACAGGGUGAGUUCCUAAAACCAGAGUCAACACACACUCUUCAUCUGUUUUGUGCUUCACUCCCUGCUCAUCUUCCUAAAACACUGAGUUUGGUCAUAUCAUGUCCUACAAGUUGUCAAUGAUUUCCCAUGAUCUUGUCUUCAGGAUAAAGUUCCUUAGUCAAAAGCAAUGAAGACCUGACCUAAUCUGUAAGGCAAAAUCAACACUUUUUAGCCUGGCCUUCCAUGCCCUUCCAUGCCCUUCGAGCCCCCAGAGCACCCAUGGCAGUCCAUCUCUCUCUACUUGUCCAGAGGGACACUCUCUUAGAGCCAGUGGCUCCUACUCACGGUUCCCCGAACACGUCGUGGGAAUGUUUGCCUUCAUACCUUCCCAGAUCAUUUUCCUGAUCUCAGACACCCUCCGUCCUCAUUCAUUCACUCUUCAAUUGUCCAACAAAUAUUUGUUGCUCAUGCAACCUGGAUCACCCACAUAGUUUCAAGACUGCAUCUUCUAAACUAUUUAAAUCCUAUCCAUUCUUCAAGAAAUGUUUCAUGACGCUUCCUUAACUGCUAAGGACCCGCAGAUUCUCUUCCUCUUGGGACUCACACACUGACUCAUCUCCCGAUCUUUUGGUGCUCAGCAAAGUGGAGGCUUCUGUUUUGGACUUAGAGUCAAGACCAUUAAAUAAGACUAUGCUCUAAAAAGUACACCUCCGUGGCCCGGAACGAGUGAAUUAACAUCUAUGAGUUUCCAUUUCCUUGUCUAUAAAAUUGUGAAAUUGCAACUUAAGAUUAGUUCUGAAGAUUAAAUGAGGUAACAUAGGUGAAAAUGCUACAUUUAUGUAAGAAAUUACUCUUUCAUAAGGAUGUCAAUGUUUAAAUACGCAUUUUCUCAAUUUUGUUAAUGAAAUACUUUGAAAUUCUUUUUUCUAAUGAAACCUGCUGAAUGUAAAAGAGACCCGUACUAAAGAAAGAUACCACAUGAAGCACCAAGGGUCUCUUUCUGGAUCUAUCAUGACUCUUGUGACUGUUUCAGCAGCACAGAAAUUAAAGGCGAUUGUUAUUCUGGAGGAAGACAAUGAGUCUCAUCUAUAUCUUGUUUGGGUUGAUUUUGUAAACAGAACAUUCCAAAGAUCAUUCUUGCCUUUUGUUUCCACUGAGAACUAGAAUAAAGUAAAACAAACUAUCAAUUUAAGGAAAGCCUCGAAAUUGUUAGCAAUUUCUUCAGUAACUUUCAUCCAUCAACUGAUUUUAUGAACACAAAUUUGCAGAAAUGGGCAAGAAAAACUACUUAACUCAUUGGUGGGAAGCAGUGGGCUCUCUAAGGAGGGAGAGAUAGCAGUGAUUUCACCACCGGACCGUGGAACACAAAGAGCCUGGAAGAGUCUAUCACUUUCAACUGAAACCGCAAGAAGAACUAAGUAGGUUAAGCCCUAAGAAUGUUCCUAGGUAACCUACUUGAGUUGAAAUUUGACUAAGAAUCCUUACACCCUACCUAAGAGAGGUAACGCUAUUAGGAUCGGAAGUGAUUGGAAGCUUUGUUUCAGAUCUCGUCCAAAAGGGAGAACGGUCAAUGACAAAGCUGCUGUGAAUAGUAUUCUGGGGGCGUGGUGGAACCCCGAUUCACUGCUAUCUCCCGAAUCAGCAACUUGAC